Molecule: ribosomal RNA, 508 nt
Filed under: uncultured Glomus
Lineage: Eukaryota; Fungi; Glomeromycota; Glomeromycetes; Glomerales; Glomeraceae
Description: SSU rRNA
Rfam family: Eukaryotic small subunit ribosomal RNA
Source: RNAcentral
AGCAGCCGCGGUAAUUCCAGCUCCAAUAGCGUAUAUUAAAGUUGUUGCAGUUAAAAAGCUCGUAGUUGAAUUUCGGGGUCAGUAGGUUGGUCGUGCCUAUGGUAUGUACUGGCUUUACUGAUUCCUCCUUCUUGAAGAACUGUAAUGUCAUUAAUUUGGUGUUGCAGGGAAACAGGACUGUUACUUUGAAAAAAUUAGAGUGUUUAAAGCAAGCUAACGCUUGAAUACAUUAGCAUGGAAUAAUGAAAUAGGACGUUCGAUCCUAUUUUGUUGGUUUCUAGGAUUGACGUAAUGAUUAAUAGGGAUAGUUGGGGGCAUUAGUAUUCAAUUGUCAGAGGUGAAAUUCUUGGAUUUAUUGAAGACUGACUACUGCGAAAGCAUUUGCCAAGGAUGUUUUCAUUAAUCAAGAACGAAAGUUAGGGGAUCGAAGACGAUCAGAUACCGUCGUAGUCUUAACCAUAAACUAUGCCGACUAGGGAUCGGAUGAUGUUAAUUUUUUAAUGACUCA